UGGCCCCUAAACAAAUAUAUACUAGUUCAGUGAUAAUGAACGCCAUACUAAUUUCCAAAUUGUACACAAGAAACUAAAAUUAAAAUAAUACAAGACUAACAAAGCUCCUGACUUGGGACAGGCGCAAAAAUGCGGCGGGGUUAAACAUGUUUGUGAGAUCUCAACCCUCCCCGUAUACCUCUAGCCAAUGUAGAAAAGUAAACGCAUAACAAUACGCACAUUAAAAUUCAGUUCAUGAGAAGUCCGAGUCUGAUGUCAGAAGAUGUAACCA
Molecule: long non-coding RNA, 271 nt
Filed under: Mytilus galloprovincialis (Mediterranean mussel)
Lineage: Eukaryota; Metazoa; Mollusca; Bivalvia; Mytilida; Mytilidae
Source: RNAcentral